GGGCAGCAGGCGCGCAAAUUGCCCAAUGUCAAAAAAAAACGAUGAGGCAGCGAAAAGAAAUAGAGCCGACAGUGCAUUUUGUAUUGUCGUUUUCAAUGGGGGAUAUUUAAACCCAUCCAAAAUCGAGUAACAAUUGGAGGACAAGUCUGGUGCCAGCACCCGCGGUAAUUCCAGCUCCAAAAGCGUAUAUUAAUGCU
Molecule: ribosomal RNA, 197 nt
Filed under: Trypanosoma noyesi
Lineage: Eukaryota; Euglenozoa; Kinetoplastea; Trypanosomatida; Trypanosomatidae
Description: partial small subunit ribosomal RNA
Rfam family: Eukaryotic small subunit ribosomal RNA
Source: RNAcentral